GUCUGCGAUCAUACCACCGUGAACAAGUCUGAUGUCAGAUCUCGGAAGCUAAGCAGGGUCGGGCCUGGUUAGUACUUGGAUGGGAGACCACCUAGGAAGACCAGGUGCUGUAGGCA
RNAcentral lists this ribosomal RNA (116 nucleotides) under Pteropus alecto (black flying fox). The record is from RNAcentral. Lineage: Eukaryota; Metazoa; Chordata; Mammalia; Chiroptera; Pteropodidae.